UACAGAGGUCUCAAGCGUUGUUCGGAUUCAUUGGGCGUAAAGGGUGCGUAGGCGGCGCGGUAAGUCGGGUGUGAAAUCUCGGAGCUUAACUCCAAACUGCAUUCGAUACUGCCGUGCUUGAGGACUGGAGAGGAGACUGGAAUUUACGGUGUAGCGGUGAAAUGCGUAGAUAUCGUAAGGAAGACCAGUGGCGAAGGCGGGUCUCUGGACAGUUCCUGACGCUGAGGCACGAAGGCCAGGGGAGCAAACGGG
RNAcentral lists this ribosomal RNA (252 nucleotides) under uncultured bacterium. Its description in RNAcentral is "partial 16S ribosomal RNA". It matches the Rfam family "Bacterial small subunit ribosomal RNA", at positions 524 to 776 of the family's 1533-position model. The record is from RNAcentral.